RNAcentral lists this ribosomal RNA (253 nucleotides) under uncultured bacterium. RNAcentral's name for it is "partial 16S ribosomal RNA". It matches the Rfam family "Bacterial small subunit ribosomal RNA", at positions 524 to 776 of the family's 1533-position model. The record is from RNAcentral.
UACGGAGGGGGUUAGCGUUGUUCGGAAUUACUGGGCGUAAAGCGCACGUAGGCGGAUUAUUAAGUUAGAGGUGAAAUCCCGGGGCUCAACCCCGGAACUGCCUUUAAUACUGGUAGUCUUGAGUUCGAGAGAGGUAAGUGGAAUUCCGAGUGUAGAGGUGAAAUUCGUAGAUAUUCGGAGGAACACCAGUGGCGAAGGCGACUUACUGGCUCGAUACUGACGCUGAGGUGCGAAAGCGUGGGGAGCAAACAGG